This 217-nucleotide ribosomal RNA is filed under the name uncultured bacterium. RNAcentral's name for it is "partial 16S ribosomal RNA". It matches the Rfam family "Bacterial small subunit ribosomal RNA", at positions 524 to 739 of the family's 1533-position model. The record is from RNAcentral.
UACGUAGGGUGCGAGCGUUGUCCGGAAUUAUUGGGCGUAAAGAGCUUGUAGGCGGUUUGUCGCGUCUGCUGUGAAAUUUCGGGGCUCAACCCCGAACUUGCAGUGGGUACGGGCAGACUAGAGUGUGGUAGGGGGAGACUGGAAUUCCUGGUGUAGCGGUGAAAUGCGCAGAUAUCAGGAGGAACACCGAUGGCGAAGGCAGGUCUCUGGGCCACUA